UACUGCCUUGAUUCUUGUGAUUAUCAUAUUCACCUCUAACUUCUGUAUUUGUAAAUACAAGAGCUAGAAGGAGCAAGGGAACUAGGAGAAAGUAGCUGGAGGCCAGCCUGGGCAUGAGACUUCUCUGGUACAAGCUAUUGUUUUAGAAGAACAUGCUUGAGGGUUUUCUGUUUCUGAUAUAUCUAGGGACAUCAGCUGUCUAGCUCCAGCUCCAGUGGCAACUCACCAGUUCACAUUCUGACUGCUACUCCUGAACAAUGAAGGCCUGUACAGUACAGAAGUUGAUAUAAUCCAGUAGCCUGUCUGCAAAACACGGGAGAGGCAGCACAAGCACAUUUCAGCCUCUGAUAAAACUGUAAAAAAAGUCCUUUUUUUGUUUUUCCAAUCUAAGCCAGGCUGUUGUACCAACAUUAAUACAACCCCUGAAAGUCAGCGGGACCAUAACAUAAUGAUGUGCAGAAGAUAAGCUAUCGUUACUGGUGGAUUGAGCUGGUGGUUAUGGCUGCUGCAUUUGUCUAAAGAGAGUUCAAAAGAUUUAACCUCCUCAUAAAUGCUGGAACAGAGGCACAUAUUAUUGUCCAAGAAAAAGUAAUGUGCAAAGACACUUCAAAACAUGCUGGCAUUGCCCUGAAGAGAAAAAGAGGAAAGAAAGGAGGCAAGUUAUGCGCAGGAGCAAGGAGAGGGAACAGAAAACCAGGCAGCAGAAUACCUGUGAGUGUACUCCUGAGAAAAAGCUGAAAGGGUGCUCUUUGAUCUAAACACUUUCUUGGUUAAAAGGUCUUUGAGCUGCAAGCAAAAAACCUAUUCUCAGCUAUUUGAUGCCCUCGGUGCUCAGGGAAACAGGAUCUUGCGCAUUCUUUAUAAAUAAGAGGGAUUCCAGAGAUACCUGAGCCUCCAUCAUCAGCCUCUUUCAAGAACACAAAGCCUUGAACUUUGAUCACUCACUUCUGACAAAAGGGAUAACAGCCUGAGUUGCUCUCCUCCUCCUUUCCUCAAAAAUUAGAAAGAUAAAUCAUUUACAUGCUAAAAUGUGCUAUACAGGCUACUUGAAAAUACAGUGCUUUACCUUCUGAAAGUAUUACAACUCCAAAGACAACUUAAAUCUAACAAUUUACUGGAAGUAAAUUAUUUGAAGUGAAAAAUCAAA
Long non-coding RNA from Calidris pugnax (ruff), 1147 nucleotides. RefSeq lists it as uncharacterized. NCBI's taxonomy places the organism in Eukaryota, Metazoa, Chordata, Aves, Charadriiformes, Scolopacidae. The transcript is spliced from 3 exons. The record is from RefSeq and is a predicted model, not a curated record.